AGCAGCCGCGGUAAUUCCAGCUCCAAUAGCGUAUAUUAAAGUUGUUGCAGUUAAAAAGCUCGUAGUUGAAUUUCGGGGUCAGCAGGUUGGUCGUGCCAAUGGUAUGCACUGGCCUUGGUGAUUCCUCCCUCUUGUAGAACCGUAAUGCCAUUAAGUUGGUGUUGCGGGGAAACAGGACUGUUACUUUGAAAAAAUUAGAGUGUUUAAAGCAGGCUAACGCCUGAAUACAUUAGCAUGGAAUAAUGAAAUAGGACGAUCGAUCCUAUUUUGUUGGUUUCUAGGAUUGACGUAAUGAUUAAUAGGGAUAGUUGGGGGCAUUAGUAUUCAAUUGUCAGAGGUGAAAUUCUUGGAUUUAUUGAAGACUAACUACUGCGAAAGCAUUUGCCAAGGAUGUUUUCAUUAAUCAAGAACGAAAGUUAGGGGAUCGAAGACGAUCAGAUACCGUCGUAGUCUUAACCAUAAACUAUGCCGACUAGGGAUCGGAUGAUGUUAAUUUUUAAUGACUCAUUCGGCGCCUUAA
This 520-nucleotide ribosomal RNA is filed under the name uncultured Glomus. RNAcentral describes it as "SSU rRNA". It matches the Rfam family "Eukaryotic small subunit ribosomal RNA", at positions 569 to 1091 of the family's 1831-position model. The record is from RNAcentral. Lineage: Eukaryota; Fungi; Glomeromycota; Glomeromycetes; Glomerales; Glomeraceae.